CGAAAGAAAAGAGAAAACCAGUCUCCUUCUUCACACAAGAAACCCUUCGGUUUCACCCAAGCCGCGCGAUCCCUCUCAUUUCUUCAAGCCGAUCUCUCUCAUUUCAUAAACCUAAGCUUCCCACCGAAAUUCUUCAAGGAAAUCAACCUUCUUUGAGAUUUCGGAUUUUCCUUUCUCUUCUUGUUGCCGUGUACUUUGUGGCUUCAAAAGAGACCCAACCAGGUAAUGAUGAAAAGGCUGGGGAGUAAGGCAUUACUGCAGAGGGAGAGGCAGACGCUUAGGACCUUUCCUAACGAGGACAGUUAUGUUACGAAUGAUGGGUUAUGUUACGUAUAGAUAUUUUAUUUUGGGAUGGACUCUGAGAGUCUCUUAAGAAUGAAUGUUCAAAUAAAAUGUCCAUUAGGUGUUCCCUUUUAUUAA
Long non-coding RNA from Juglans microcarpa x Juglans regia, 420 nucleotides. RefSeq lists it as uncharacterized. The transcript has 3 exons. The record is from RefSeq and is a predicted model, not a curated record. Lineage: Eukaryota; Viridiplantae; Streptophyta; Magnoliopsida; Fagales; Juglandaceae.